This 169-nucleotide signal recognition particle RNA is filed under the name Candidatus Limiplasma pullistercoris. Its description in RNAcentral is "partial signal recognition particle sRNA large type". It matches the Rfam family "Bacterial large signal recognition particle RNA", at positions 84 to 256 of the family's 256-position model. From Rfam's summary of the family: The signal recognition particle (SRP) is a universally conserved ribonucleoprotein involved in the co-translational targeting of proteins to membranes. The record is from RNAcentral. Lineage: Bacteria; Bacillati; Bacillota; Clostridia; Eubacteriales.
AUAGGAAAGCCGAGUGCAUGAUGACGGUUGAGUCCUGUGCGAUUUCAACGCGUGAACCCUGUCAGGUCCGGAAGGAAGCAGCAGUAAGCGCAGUUUGGGAUGUGCUGCGGGGUCGCUCUGCCUGAGUGCGCUCGGUUUUUACUUUAUGUUUGAAUAAGGGGGAGCAGAG